UGCUAAACUGAACUUUCUGAUUCCUACGAUUUAAAAAGGUGACAAUGGGUGGGGGUUAGAGGGGGAGGUGAGAUAACUGGGCUAUCCAAGUGUGGCUUGAGAAAAAAAGGUCCACUUCACGAAGUAGUCAAAGUAGGGGGUAGGAAAAACCGGUCUGGCCAAGUGACAAACCCAGGAUGCUGACCGAGCUUGGAGGUGGAGGGCCCUGGAGGCCAGGGACCGGAGAAGGGAGAUCUCGGGCAAACCGUAGGGGAAGAGCAGCACCAACGCAGAGACCGACGCUGCCACGGAGCAGCAUGUAAGGGGACACCACGAAGGAAACGAUGAGUUAGGAGGUAGCGACAGCAAGAGGGUGGCCAGUGCCACGGGCGACGGGCAAGUGGCAACUACGAAAGAAGAGGCACAGCAGCCGGAGGUGGUGGGACUGUGUUGAGUCAGCACAGCUCCUAUUCAGGGGGCACUUGUAGGAUCCCCGUUGCUCUUCGGGCCCCGGGGCCCGCUACGGAGGGUCGGGACCGCGGUCAGGAGAAACGCUGUUCUCGGAAGAGCUGGCGCCGGCCCCUUCCCCAUUUCACAGGCUAACCCUUAGUCCCUAAUGUCCUUAUGACCAUGGUCACGGGCUUCCUCUGAGCCCCACUGGAACUGAAAGGGAUGACCUGUGAUCUGCAACCACCAGUAAGAACAAACUACAGAGUACAGUUGUGCGCUAAUUUCAACAGCAUGUCUGUUUUGCUGCAGCACAUGGACAUUUAUGAGAAGUUAAGUCCAGAGUUGAUUUGCAAAGUCCCAUUUUGAUAACUCUGCCUCCCUUGCCACAGAAGUGGCCGUGGAACUUGCACCUGAUUAAUUUGAGCAACAGUGAUUAGUGAAUUGACAAGUGAUAUAAGCAGAGAUGGAAUCCCUUUCUGGCUUUGAUACUAUGUAUGUUCAGGAUACUAUAUUUUUGGGGUUGCUAAGUAGAAUCUGCUGGCAAGUAUGUUCUGUGCCACAUAAAGGAGGCAUAUCUGCAGAGCAGGAGAAAGUGAUAUUAAUAUGUCAAGAGAAGUAGAGACAAGCAGAAAUGAGCAGCAGAAAGAGUAUGUUCUGGGAAUGUUGAGUUCCCAGAUCCAAUUCUUUCUAUAGGCAUUACUUUCUGUAGCCAUUUCUUCAUUUCUAUGAGUUAUUUCAGUAUCUUGCCAGAAACAUGGACCACUACAUUUACCUUUGCCUUAAAAUAACAUGAACUGAUUUCCUCUUUACUUGUAAUAUUAGAGUCCCGACUAAUACAAAUCCCUGUGCAGUUAAUGGGUGGGCUUUGGCAAGUCUGCAAACUGCAUGAAAUUGUAUGCAAGAUUUUGUGUUCGAUUCUAAGUGCACUUUGCACCCCCGCCUCCCGGGAAUAGUUUUGUAGUUUGCCUCAGAUUCAAAAAAGACCUAUAAGCCCACAAAAGCUGACUUAAGUUAGUAUGAAUAAAAAUAAACUAAGCAAAUAGCUUUCUGUGUCAGAAUUUACUCAGAAUAUACCAUACCAAGGUGGUUACAUUCACCUGUGUAUGGAUUGGAGUCUGUCUUUGCCUGAUGUUUUUAAACUAGAUUCUAAGGCUUCCUAAGAGCUUUAAAUACCAAAGACACUUAUUUUUCAUUUAAUUCCUUCCUUGUUACUUUCUUCACAUACUAGCCUAUUUGUAUAUGUGUGAUAUUGUUAGCAUAUUUCUCAAGAGAGUAAAACGAGAGGCACUUGCUAUUCACUUGUCAAACAUCAAAGAAGAUGAACAUCUAAUAAGAAGCCGCUAUCUAUAUUCUAAAAAACCUUUAGACUUGACUUUUAUCUACCUUUGGAAAUAACCUUCAGAAAAAUAAUAGGGAAAUAAUAUUAUGCAUUAAAUUUAAAUUUGAUAAAUACAACUCAGAUGUUUUAAGAUUACUUUCAAAAAGACUACUGGGUUAAGAAGCCAGUGAAAUUAAGUUAUAGGGCAGAAAGAAUCUUUAUUGAGGAAAAUUAAAACUGGACACAAUAUAAAUGAGAAAACAGUAAAAUAUAAGAAAUCCAUCUUGUUCUCUUGUGUGUUAGCUAUCAAGUGGAAAAUAAUUGUAUGUGAUAAAAAGCAAAAUAAAGUGUUCCCAAUACUAUGUAUUCAAUACCUUUACUUCAGAAAAAGCUAAAGCAAUUUCAUAAGAUGAUUUUUGUCUAAGAAAGUAAUUUAUUGCUUGGAUAAGCAUGACACAGAAGGCUGUGCAGGCCCCACUUACCUCACUGAAGCAAUAUUUUGUUAGCCUUUGUAACAGUUCUGGUUGAUUGUACCUAUUGCACCAGAAGAAAUUAUUUAAAUCUCAUUUAAAAUAUAACGGCCACAAUAAAGUAAUGUAGUCAAGGUUUCUUUGAAAAUAUAUUUGGUUUGAAAAUUAAAAUGUGGUACACUGAAGUUUCUAAGAACUAAAAAUACUUUGUCAUCAUAGCCAAUAGACAACAUUAUAAACAUCCUGUCAAGGCGGAAGUGAAUAAUGUUUAAGGCUUAUACUGAAUACAACUAGACUAAGAUAUCAGGUUAACUGGUAAAUCUAAUAAUGAAAGUUUAGGAGCUAAAGCUAUCAAAUCAACUGGACCAUUUUAACAAAAAUUUUACCACAUUCCAACUUUACUUUGAGAUGAAAUUUAGUGUUGCUUCUCUAAUCAUGUUAAUCAUUAAGUUCCCAGUUGAGAAUGAUUCAUAGAUGCACAGAAAGAAAUUCUAUCUUUAAUUCUAAGGCUACAGUAGGUUGUAUCUAUUUAAUGCGUAGUCAAGCUAGUCUGACCUUUAAGGCUAGCUUACAUUCUUGGAGUCUACAAUUGUCUUUAAAAAUAUUUCUUAUACUAUUGGCUAUAUUAUUAAUCCAAACGUGUACAAAUAGAUUGAUAGAUAAGCAUGAAAUAGAAAGGUAUGAAGGCCCCGAUGACCAA
Long non-coding RNA from Acinonyx jubatus (cheetah), 2917 nucleotides. RefSeq lists it as uncharacterized. NCBI's taxonomy places the organism in Eukaryota, Metazoa, Chordata, Mammalia, Carnivora, Felidae. The transcript has 3 exons. The record is from RefSeq and is a predicted model, not a curated record.